AGCAAGACCUGCAAGGUGGCUCCCAUGGGUGUGCACCAACCCGAGGUGUGUGUGAGGUGUGAGGUGUGUGUACUGCACUGUUAUCCACUUUUGCACACCGCUCCACCUUUGCACAGGACCGGAUGGAUACCUUAACCGCACAUGUGACAGGUGGCUGUGGGGGUUUCACAGAAGUACAUCAUCAUCAUCAUCAUCAUGUCCCUGUGAGCGCAUGCGUCAGACAAUGCAGCCCAGCUUCCUGCAUGUCACGGUGGUCACCGGACAGCUUGACAAACCUUGGCAGCCGCCCUAAGAUGAGGACUGGAAUUGAGGAAGUAAGGCGAGUCUCUCCUCCCUCGCUGAAACGGAUGGGUGCCAUUUAUGCAUGGCAUCCAUCCCUGUGGAUUUCCUGGAAGAGCCACCCUGUUGUCAUAUACUUUAAUAUGUUAUUAAAACGUAUUAUACUUUA
Pseudoliparis swirei is the source of this 448-nucleotide long non-coding RNA. RefSeq lists it as uncharacterized. The transcript has 2 exons. The record is from RefSeq and is a predicted model, not a curated record. Lineage: Eukaryota; Metazoa; Chordata; Actinopteri; Perciformes; Liparidae.